AGCUAAUGUUUGCAGCUUCUUCAAGCUAUUGUCUCAGUUUUGCUGCUGCUGUGGUUGCCACUUGCUUAUCUGGACUGACUGGUGACCAACACAGUCCCCAGCUCUCUUCUGAAUUCCACUAAAUAAUCAUGAUAGCUGGCUGGGCGCAGUGGCUCAAGCCUGUAAUCCCAGUACUUUGGGAGGCCCAGGUGGGUGGAUCAUGAGGUCAGGAGUUUGAGACCAGCCUGGCCAGCAUAGUGAAACCCUGUCUCUACUAAAAAUACAAAAAAUUAGCCAGGCAUGGUGGCAGGCACCUGUAAUCCCAGCUACACAGGAGGCUGAGGCAAGAGAAUCACUUGACUCUGGGAGGCGGAGGUUGCAGUGAGUCGGGAUCGUGCCACUGCACUCCAGCCUGGGUGACAGAACAAGACUCCAUCUCAGAAAAAAAAAAAAUCAUGAUAGCCUCCCAACUUGGUGUAAUGUUAAUGUGUGUCCUAUUGUGCAUGCUGGGACCAUUUUCAGUGAGAGAUUUACAGUGGCACCGACUCAGCAAAGACUGACUUUUGUGAUAAAAUGAAUUAAUAUUUAUUUAGUGCUUUGCAGGUUAAAAUUACUUCUUAUAUAUUAUCUCAUUUUAUCCUUAUGUUAACCCAGUGAAGUAGAUACAGCAAAUGUUUUUAUCUGUUUUUUUAUUCAUAAGAUUAAAGAAUAUUGUUUGAGAAUGUUCUUACACUUUAAUUUUUUUUUUUUCCCUGUAGGUGAAAUGUCCAGCUUUUAAGUGAAUUGGUAUGGUAUGGUGGCUAGUUCCAAUUGAAAUGGCUAAGCUUCAUCCCUUUGAACUCUCAACUUUUCAGGAACACCUCUGUGACCAAAUGUGUGUGGUGUUUUUCCUAUACACCAAGGAGGCAAUCAGUUCUCAGCAGAUUCUCCAGCGGACACGAGGUGAGUGUCUAAUUCAGUUUAAUUGUGAUACUAUCAACUGGAAGGUCAAACAAGUUGAGGACUCGGUCCCACAAGAUUGUCCUCUACUUCAGAUGCCAGUUUUAAGUCUGGGCCUGCAGAACUUCUGGCCAAUUAGCUAUAAUUUGGGGUUCCCAUAACCUCUUCCUAGGGUUCAAUUAAUUUGCUAGAAUGGCUCAUAGAACUAAGGGAAACACUUCAUUUAUGUUUACUCAUUUAUUAUGAAGGAUAUUACAGAGGAUACAGAUGAACAGCCAGACGGAAGAGAUGCAAGGCAUGUGAUAAGGGUGCAGAGCUUCCAUGCCUUCUCUGGGCGUGUCACCCUUUAGGAACCUCUGCAUAUUCCUUGAAACCUCCCAGAACUCAGUCCUUUUGGGUGUUCAUGGAGUCUUCAUUACAUAGGCAUGAUUGAGUACAUCAUUGGCCAUUGGUCAUCAACUCAACAUUUAGACUGUCCUCUCCCCAGAGGUUAGGGGGUGAAGCUUAAAGUCCUAACUCUUUAAUCAUGUCUUGUUCUUUAUGAUAACCAUUCCCCCAUCUAGAAGCUGUCUAGGAGCCGCUAGCCACCAGUCAUCUCAUUAGCAUACAAAAGACACUCAUAUCACUCUGGAGAUUCCAAGGGUUUUAGGAGAACUUUGCCAGGAAAUGGGGAAGAAGGUCAAAUAUAUAUUUCAUCAUAUCACAGUGGGGGAAAUGCUUAAGGAAUGAAACUGUUUAUUUAAAAAAAACUUCUUCCAAAGCUUCCAAGGCCUUCAUUAUGCUUUGCCUUUUCUUUUAUGACCAAGGAAACCCAAGCUGCACAAGUGAUAAGUAUUGAAGUCUGAUUUUGACCUCAAAUCUUCCCUUCUCUGUGGUAGGCCAUUACAAGGCCGGUUCCAUGGAAAUAUAUGGCAGCCCAAUGGCAUAGCAAAGAUUGAAACAUGACAAUAGCUGGAUUAUACGAAGUGCUCUGUCAAUGCUAAUAGCUGUUAUGUUACUGUCAUGUAUAGAGGAUAAAAUAUAAUUUCUUACCUUUUUUAGGUUCUUAGUUACAGGUACUUAGACAGGCAUGAGCGGGCAGGGGCAGGGGAGGGCUUUCCCUCGCCCACUAGGAAUGUUGGAUGAUGGUUUGGUGAUUAUCACAUUGCCUUUCUAAAUUGGCAGCUGGUGCCAAGGAGAGGUCAUUUCCUGAUGGUCCACACCUGUUGCCCUGAAGUAUUAAUUGAAUGCAGGUGCCAGGGAGAAGCAACUUUCUGGGCAUGCACAUUAAGAGACAAAAUGGCAGAGUAUAACCUUCCAAGGGCACACCACUGGAAAAAGGAAAAAAAACCCUAUAUGAUCAUGUGUACAACUUCCUAAACACACUGCGUGUGCUCACCUCCCAAAGGUAAGGAGGGCACUGUGCAUGUGGACAGCCCACCCUAAGAGAAGAAUCAUGGGAAAGGGGCCAACUUCUUUCUGGAGCUUUCUCUGUGGAUCAUUUUCAGUGAACUGAAAAUGCUAUCAUUAAACUUGGGUUUGGUCAUAAACAGAACUGGCAUUUUCUCCUUCAUUUUCUUAGCACAUCUGAGACUAAAUUUUUCUAAAAAUAUGUAUAUUUAGGCCGGGCGCGGUGGCUCAAGCCUGUAAUCCCAGCACUUUGGGAGGCCGAGACGGGCGGAUCACAAGGUCAGGAGAUCGAGACCAUCCUGGCUAACACGGUGAAACCCCGUCUCUACUAAAAAAUACAAAAAACUAGCCGGGCGCAGUGGCGGGCGCCUGUAGUCCCAGCUACUCGGGAGGCUGAGGCAGGAGAAUGGCGUGAACCCGGGAGGCGGAGCUUGCAGUGAGCUGAGAUCCGGCCACUGCACUCCAGCCUGGGCGGCAGAGCGAGACUCCGUCUCAAAAAAAAAAAAAAAAAAAAAAAAAAAAAGAAAAAAAAAUGUAUAUUUAUUAAUUAAGGAAGGUCAGUUUCUAGUUAUAGCAGUAUGAAGAUGAUCAUGAUUUCUCUUUGCAAAGCAAAUACUAAACUGGGUGAUAUUGUAAAAACCAAACACUUAAGGGCACUGGAAAUUGACCAAAGGUAGACAACAAAUUUAGAAGAGUUUAUUCUGGAAAAUGAAAGUAUUUCAGCUAAGAACAUCAUGCUUAUAUGGCCUGUGGCUCCUCCCAUUC
This is a long non-coding RNA of Papio anubis (olive baboon), 3072 nucleotides long. NCBI's taxonomy places the organism in Eukaryota, Metazoa, Chordata, Mammalia, Primates, Cercopithecidae. The record is from Ensembl.